GGAUCGCAGGCUGCAACCCGCCUGCGUGAAGUUGGAAUCGCUAGUAAUCGCGGAUCAGCAUGCCGCGGUGAAUACGUUCCCGGGCCUUGUACACACCGCCCGUCACACCAUGGGAGUCAGCAACGCCCGAAGCCGGUGACCCAACCGAAAGGAGGGAGCCGUCGAAGGUGGGGCCGAUAACUGGGGUGAAGUCGUAACAAGGUAAC
Molecule: ribosomal RNA, 206 nt
Filed under: uncultured bacterium
Lineage: Bacteria
Description: partial 16S ribosomal RNA
Rfam family: Bacterial small subunit ribosomal RNA
Source: RNAcentral